Molecule: long non-coding RNA, 1688 nt
Organism: Cuculus canorus (common cuckoo)
Lineage: Eukaryota; Metazoa; Chordata; Aves; Cuculiformes; Cuculidae
Exons: 4
Source: RefSeq, a predicted model, not a curated record
UAAAAGUAAUGUAGGGGAGAGGACCAUGCAGGAAGAGUCCUAUUUGGGCAGGGAAAGGCAGAGAGGCCUACUUCUCAGCCCAAAACUAGCACGGGGAGGGCAGUUCCAGCCCACAUAUGUUGUCAUCUAGUUUCUGUAGUCUGUGCGCCACAUCUUAAGUUUUCUGCAGGUCUUGAUGUCCUCUUUGCACUCAAGGCAUGCCGGACAUGCCUUGGGCACCGUGUCUAGGGUCCCGAAUGCUUGUACUCAUCAAAGCAGUGUCAAUCGGGCACUGCUCUUCUUGCAUCGCAAUCCUAAAGCAUGGAUUGGUCUUGUGUUUGGGAAGUUUCGGAUCAGAUGUCUCUUACGCUGCGGCCUUGCAGCCUGUGUCGGCAUCCAUGUUUGUUAGUCAUCCAUUUUCUUGGAUCCCUGUUCUGGGACUUGUUCGGUGCAUCCUCUGCACCUCUAGGUCUUUCAGCGGGGCUUCCUGUUAUCUUGUUUCUGUAGUCUGUGCGCCACGUCUUCAGUUUUCUGCAGGUCUUGAUGUCCUCUUUGCACUCAAGGCAUGCCAGACAUGCCUUGGGCACCGUGUCUAGGGUCCUGAAUGCAUGUACUCAUCAAUGCAGUCUCGAUCGGGCACUGCUCUUCUUGCAUCGCAAUCCUAAAGCAUGGAUCGGUCUUGUGUUUUGGAAGUUUGGGAUCAGAUGUCUCUUUGGCUGCAGCCUUGCAGCCUGCAUUGGCAUCUGUGUUCGUUAGUCAUCCAUUUUCUUGGAUCCCUGUUCUGGGACUCGUUCCAUGCAUCCUCUGCAUCUUUAGGUCUUUAAACGGGGCUUCUUGCUCCUUCAUCCUCCCAGUUGCGGCUGUAUCUCUUUGUAAUGAGCCAUGAUCCUUCACUUUUCCAGGGCCCCCAUAGACUCUUCGUUGUAGCCCCAUACAGCGUCUUGCCUGAUGGCAUGUGUGGUCCAGGAAUCAUUCUUCCUACAGUGAGUUCUUUUGUCCCUGGUUCACGACAUCUGUCUUGUGUGUGGUGUUGUUCUUUGUGUGUUUUGUAUCUGGCUGGAGCUGCUCUGCCCGAUGCAUGGAGGUGAUAAGAGUGAGCAGAGGUAGAAGGGCAAGAUUCUGUGGUUAAUGUGCUGAUAGGCGUACACCUUGCAGUCUGGGGGCAUACCAUUCUUUGCAGAAGAAGUAGCCCUAGUUGCAGCGGGUGAUGAGGAGAGUAGUUUCUGCUUGGCUCUGCAGCCACAGAGGGGAUGACCAAAAGUGUGUGGGAGAAUCCAGUGGAGCAGUACCGGAGCAGUUUAAAUUCAAAGGGAAUGGAACUUAAUGUUUGGGUUUGGUUGUGGAUUUGUUGUGCCUGGCUGUAGUGUGCGGUAGAGAUGGUACUGCUAAAUGGAAGCGAGAGGUCUGGAACCGUUAAGGCGUCACUGAGCAUCCGAGUGACUUCUUUGAUAUUGUUUUUCAGAUGCAGAGGGAUGACCUGUGUGCCAAAUGCCACUGAUGGACUUGUGGGUGGAGCGCCAUAGGGAGGCGAGUCGGCUGUGGUGUAGGUGGAGAGCAAGCCUCAACAUGGCAGCCUGAGAUGAUGGAUGCUGGGCAGGAGAGCGGUCAAGGUGCUACAUGCAGCCUCAGAGGGGUGGAGCUUCAUGCUGAGAAAUGGUUUGAGCGGUGCUGUGCGGGCUGCCUUUGCGAUGGGAAGAGCAGUUGAGGUG